UGCAGGAGAACAGUAAUUUUUCCAAAACAAAAUUGUAUUAGUUUGAGCUAUGGAAGGUGGCUGCUUUUGACACCAUGAGGAUUCAGUAAGGAAUCAUUUUUCGAGAGGGUGUGCCCAGCAACUUGCAACAAGCACAGAGGUGAUUUCAUUAGCAGGUCGUUUCAUGGCUGGGAGACACAGAAGUGGUUUCAGGAUGUGAUCUUCAUGAAUGACAGAUGCAUUGAGAGGACUUUCCUCUGAAGGCAGUACUGAUGGUCGCUGUUCUCACGCUGAUCCUAGAAGUGAGGAGGUACAGUCCUGCCCUGAGUCAUCCAGACUCAUGGCCAGUUAUAACUACACUGAGGAGCUGCAUCUAGUUGGAUUUACUUCUCCUUAUAUGUAUGCUAAAGCAGUCAUUUUAACAUUUUCAGGAUGAAACUUGAUAAGUUUGGUCUAGCCAAGGUAAAAAUUCUCGAUCAUGACGUUGGAAAGAAGUUUGCAAAAAUAAGGAGAACAUGUCU
Aquila chrysaetos chrysaetos is the source of this 500-nucleotide long non-coding RNA. RefSeq lists it as uncharacterized. The record is from RefSeq and is a predicted model, not a curated record. The transcript has 3 exons. Lineage: Eukaryota; Metazoa; Chordata; Aves; Accipitriformes; Accipitridae.